Unclassified non-coding RNA from Otolemur garnettii (small-eared galago), 110 nucleotides. It matches the Rfam family "Y RNA". From Rfam's summary of the family: Y RNAs are components of the Ro ribonucleoprotein particle (Ro RNP), in association with Ro60 and La proteins. The Y RNAs and Ro60 and La proteins are well conserved, but the function of the Ro RNP is not known. In humans the RNA component can be one of four small RNAs -- hY1, hY3, hY4 and hY5. The record is from Ensembl. NCBI's taxonomy places the organism in Eukaryota, Metazoa, Chordata, Mammalia, Primates, Galagidae.
GGCUGUUCUGAAGGCAGUGCAUUAUCUCGAUUGUUCCCAGGUCAAUUACAGAUCAAAAACUUUGUUCUACAUUUCCUCCCAUUCUCACUACUGCACUUGACUAGUCUUAA